GAUGAACGCUGGCGGCGUGCUUAACACAUGCAAGUCGAGCGAAGCGAUUUUAAGGAAGCCUUCGGGUGGAAUUAAAAUUGACUUAGCGGCGGACGGGUGAGUAACGCGUGGGUAACCUGCCUCAUACAGGGGGAUAACAGUUAGAAAUGACUGCUAAUACCGCAUAAGCGCACAGUGCUGCAUAGCACAGUGUGAAAAACUCCGGUGGUAUGAGAUGGACCCGCGUCUGAUUAGGUAGUUGGUGAGGUAACGGCCCAACAAGCCGACGAUCAGUAGCCGGCCUGAGAGGGUGACCGGCCACAUUGGGACUGAGACACGGCCCAACCUCCUACGGGAGGCAGCAGUGGGGAAUAUUGGACAAUGGGGGAAACCCUGAUCCAGCGACGCCGCGUGACUGAAGAAGUAUUUCGGUAUGUAAAGGUCUAUCAGCAGGGAAGAAAAUGACGGUACCUGACUAAGAAGCCCCGGCUAACUACGUGCCAGCAGCCGCAGUAA
RNAcentral lists this ribosomal RNA (495 nucleotides) under uncultured bacterium. Its description in RNAcentral is "partial 16S ribosomal RNA". It matches the Rfam family "Bacterial small subunit ribosomal RNA", at positions 28 to 523 of the family's 1533-position model. The record is from RNAcentral.